GUCACUUUAGCUUAGUGGCAGAGCGUCGGCUCUAUGAGCAGGAGGUCGCCAGUCCAAUCCUGGCAAGUGGCU
Non-coding RNA from Perkinsus marinus ATCC 50983, 72 nucleotides. NCBI's taxonomy places the organism in Eukaryota, Perkinsozoa, Perkinsida, Perkinsidae. The record is from Rfam.